Molecule: ribosomal RNA, 572 nt
Filed under: Glaciozyma watsonii
Lineage: Eukaryota; Fungi; Basidiomycota; Microbotryomycetes; Kriegeriales; Camptobasidiaceae
Description: partial large subunit ribosomal RNA
Rfam family: Eukaryotic large subunit ribosomal RNA
Source: RNAcentral
GUGAGCGGGAAGAGCUCAAAUUUGUAAUCUGGCCCUUUCAGGGUCCGAGUUGUAAUCUCGAGAAGUGUUUUCCGCGCCGGACCGCAUACAAGUCUGUUGGAAUACAGCGUCAUAGUGGUGAGAGCCCCGUAAUUGAUGUGGAUGCCCGGUGCUUUGUGAUACACUUUCGAAGAGUCGAGUUGUUUGGGAAUGCAGCUCAAAUUGGGUGGUAAAUUCCAUCUAAAGCUAAAUAUUGGCGAGAGACCGAUAGCGAACAAGUACCGUGAGGGAAAGAUGAAAAGCACUUUGGAAAGAGAGUUAACAGUACGUGAAAUUGUUGGAAGGGAAACGCUUGAAGUCAGACUUGCUAUUCGGAAUUCAGCCGCAAGGUGUACUUUUCGAUUUGCAGGCCAGCAUCAGUUUUUGGGGGUGGAAAAGGGUGGAGAGAAGGUAGCAACCUUGGUUGUGUUAUAGCUCUUUACUGGAUUCAUCUUUGGGGACUGAGGAUCGCAGUGCGCAAUUUACUUUGCAAACCUUUCGAGGUUUUCGUACUUAGGAUGCUGGUGGAAUGGCUUUAAACGACCCGUCUUGAA